UUGAACGCUGGCGGCAGGCCUCACACCUGCAAGUCGAGCGGAUGAAGGGAGCUUGCUCCUGGAUUCAGCGGCGGACGGGUGAGUAAUGCCUAGGAAUCUGCCUGGUAGUGGGGGAUAACGUCCGGAAACGGGCGCUAAUACCGCAUACGUCCUGAGGGAGAAAGUGGGGGAUCUUCGGACCUCACGCUAUCAGAUGAGCCUAGGUCGGAUUAGCUAGUUGGUGGGGUAAAGGCCUACCAAGGCGACGAUCCGUAACUGGUCUGAGAGGAUGAUCAGUCACACUGGAACUGAGACACGGUCCAGACUCCUACGGGAGGCAGCAGUGGGGAAUAUUGGACAAUGGGCGAAAGCCUGAUCCAGCCAUGCCGCGUGUGUGAAGAAGGUCUUCGGAUUGCAAAGCACUUUAAGUUGGGAGGAAGGGCAGUAAGUUAAUACCUUGCUGUUUUGACGUUACCAACAGAAUAAGCACCGGCUAACUUCGUG
This 483-nucleotide ribosomal RNA is filed under the name uncultured bacterium. RNAcentral describes it as "partial 16S ribosomal RNA". It matches the Rfam family "Bacterial small subunit ribosomal RNA", at positions 30 to 507 of the family's 1533-position model. The record is from RNAcentral.